RNAcentral lists this non-coding RNA (334 nucleotides) under Erysipelotrichaceae bacterium. RNAcentral describes it as "T-box sequence". It matches the Rfam family "T-box leader". Rfam says of the family: Uncharged tRNA acts as the effector for transcription antitermination of genes in the T-box leader family. Lineage: Bacteria; Bacillati; Bacillota; Erysipelotrichia; Erysipelotrichales; Erysipelotrichaceae. The record is from RNAcentral.
AAAAAUGCGAUGAACGGGAGGAGUAUCUGAUCUCCGGCACUACAGAGAGCUUUCAAAAGGUGAAAGAAGGCAGAAGGAAUCAGAGAAGGUAGCCCGGGAGCUCAAAAUGUGAACAAGAAGAUUUGAUAUUUUUCCUGAUGGAAAAAUAAACUGACUUUAUUAGCGUUUUGCGCAGGGACAGCGUUAUGUCAAAGAGGCAAAAGCCAGGAAGGAUACGGAUUCAAUUGAUAUUCAUUUUCAUUUCGCAAUGAAUUGAAGAGGAAUGGACAAAACUUCCUGAAGAAAUGGGGCUUUUGUAACGAAGGUGGUACCGCGAACUCAGUUCGUCCUUUGG